Long non-coding RNA from Ailuropoda melanoleuca (giant panda), 151 nucleotides. RefSeq lists it as uncharacterized. The record is from RefSeq and is a predicted model, not a curated record. Lineage: Eukaryota; Metazoa; Chordata; Mammalia; Carnivora; Ursidae. The transcript has 3 exons.
GCCACAUGCCAGGGGCAGUAUAGGUAGGAAGACACAGAAGUAUGUCUCCUGAAACCAAGGAUAUUGCUGCUUUUACAACAGAACAUUGGAAACAAUCUCAAAGUCUAACAGUGAGAGAGAGAGAGACAGCCAGCGAGAAAGGGAUCACAAG